GCCCGUGAUAUGGACAAUCAUUGAGCAACUGCUUGAAUUGCUCCCACACUUCAAAUAAAGUUUCCCCUGUUUUCUGCUAAAACCCCACUAUCUCGCUUCUCAACGUC
Lycium barbarum (goji berry) is the source of this 107-nucleotide small nucleolar RNA. NCBI's taxonomy places the organism in Eukaryota, Viridiplantae, Streptophyta, Magnoliopsida, Solanales, Solanaceae. The record is from RefSeq and is a predicted model, not a curated record.